AAUAGAUACCCGGGUAGUCCACGCCGUAAACGAUGGAUGCUAGCUGUACGAAGUAUCGACCCUUUGUGUAGCGAAGCUAACGCGUUAAGCAUCCCGCCUGUGGAGUACGGUCGCAAGACUAAAACAUAAAGGAAUUGACGGGGACCCGCACAAGCGGUGGAGCGUGUUGUUUAAUUCGAUGGUAAGCGAAGAACCUUACCAAGGUUUGACAUCCUACUAAGGUCUCCGAAAGGAGACUGUGCCUUCGGGCCGUAGUGACAGGUGAUGCAUGGCCGUCGUCAGCUCGUGUCGUGAGAUGUUUGGUUAAGUCCAUCAACGAGCGCAACCCUUAUAGUUAGUUGUAUUUUUCUAGCUAGACUGCCCUGGCAACAGGGAGGAAGGAGGGGAUGAUGUCAGGUCAGUAUUUCCCUUACACCUUGGGCUACAAACACGCUACAAUGGCCGGUACAAAGGGCAGCCAACCCGCGAGGGGGAGCAAAUCCCAUCAAAGCCGGUCUCAGUUCGGAUAGCAGGCUGAAACUCGCCUGCUUGAAGA
RNAcentral lists this ribosomal RNA (535 nucleotides) under uncultured bacterium. Its description in RNAcentral is "bacterial SSU rRNA". It matches the Rfam family "Bacterial small subunit ribosomal RNA", at positions 777 to 1326 of the family's 1533-position model. The record is from RNAcentral.